CGCAUUANCUAGUUGGUGGAGUUAACNGGCUCANCAAGNCGACGAUGCGUAGCCGACCNNAGAAGGUGAUCNNNCCACACUNGGACUGAGACACGGCNCANNCUCCUACGGGAGGCAGCAGUAGGGAAUCUUUNCGCAAUGGACGAAAGUCUGACGGAGCAACCCGGCGUGAGCGAAGAAGGCCUUCGGGUCNUAAAGCUCUGUUGUUAGGGAAGAACAAGUACGAGAGUAACUUCGUACCUUGACGNGUACCUAACCAGAAAGCCACGGCUAACUACGUGCCAGCAGCCGCGGUAAUACGUAGGUGGCAAGCGUUGUCCGGAAUUAUUGGGCGUAAAGCGCGCGCAGGCGGUUUCUUAAGUCUGAUGUGAAAGCCCACGGCUCAACCGUGGAGGGUCAUUGGAAACUGGGGAACUUGAGUGCAGAA
RNAcentral lists this ribosomal RNA (427 nucleotides) under uncultured bacterium. RNAcentral describes it as "partial 16S rRNA". It matches the Rfam family "Bacterial small subunit ribosomal RNA", at positions 237 to 653 of the family's 1533-position model. The record is from RNAcentral.